CCUGUGCCCCGUGAGAAGAAGGCCGAAUGCCCAGGAGCCCCCAGGAGGCAGCAGGCCUGAUGGGACCACGGCAGAGCCAGUGCCAGCUGCGUACCCAGCACCAAGUUCCUGCCUGUUUGCCCGCCUGACUCCAGGGACAGUGCAGAGCCGGAGCAGGGGUUGGCUAGAGACUCUUAGGCCAAGGAACCCCUCCUGCAAAGUUGCUUUCAGUCCUGGGGCUCAGCCAGGAGCCUGGGCUGGGGUCCCAC
Molecule: long non-coding RNA, 248 nt
Filed under: Castor canadensis (American beaver)
Lineage: Eukaryota; Metazoa; Chordata; Mammalia; Rodentia; Castoridae
Description: lncRNA (ENSCCNG00000003435.1)
Source: RNAcentral